CAAUUUUCUCUCAAGAUAUAAUGAUAUAGUCUCUCCCUUUAUAUCCUCUCUCCCUAUCGAAAUAAUCACUCUCCCCCCUUUUUGUCACAAAUAAAAAAAAAUCAAUAUCAAAAUAUUUUUAACAUCAAUUAUAAUAAUUCAAAAUAUGCAAUUGAUUACAUGCACAAGCAUAAUCAAUGAUUAGUAAACCUUCGUACAUGCACAACUCGAGUUAACAUGGAGUAAAAUAUAUAAGUGAUCCAUGUGUGUAAAGCGUCGUUAAUCCUUUGUAAACUGGACUUCAUACCUUAAUUUUAUGAUAAAUGACAUACUAAACAUCAUUGUCCAUAAGUUUAUUUUUUUAUUUAUGAAAGUUAAACCAUUUAAAGCACACUAGAACCUUCAAAUAAAAGCUCAUUUUGUAUGGAUAUUUUCUUUUUCUCUCCCUGAUUUGAGCAUACAUAAAAUUUUCAUAUCAUUCAAUAUUUUUUAAGCUCAUCAUAUUUGUACAUCUUAAGUACAGGUCCUUCUCCAUUAAAAGAAUAAGAUGAACCCGUAGCGAGUUUUAGUCCGAUUAACCCAAGUUAGUUGACCAUUGGCUCGCACCAAGUUAUGAAAAAUCCCACAGACUUAAUUGUUCGAGUCAAAUAUGCUCCAAAGAAUAACAUUUUUAUUACAGGGAUUAAAGUUGAGUUUAGGUCUAAUAAAUAAUGUCAAUUCAUGUUCAAAAUCACCUUACUAACAUGUGACUAUCAUCUAAAAUCUUACACAUGCAGUUGAGUCCCACUAACAACAUCAUAAAGUGUGCAGUGCAGAUUGUACAUGAAGUCACAUAUACUAAGUACUCUAUAAUAACCUAAGCAAGCAAUAGAAACUAUGCUACAACUCUUCCAUUAAACCAAUACUUGAUAACAACAAACAAAUUCAAGUAUAUUAUACAUCAUGUUGUAAAAACAAUUUUCUCUUCCCUUUUCCCAUUUUCUUUGUAUUUUUCAAUUUUCAAAUUUUUUUGUUGUUUUUAUUUUAAAAAUUUGAACGCACCAAGAACACAAGAAAAUGUUAAACACACAAAAAAUGGACAUAAGACUUCUACUUAGAAAACAAAUAAAAAAAAUCAGUAUCAAAUUUUUUUUAACAUAUAUUAUAAUAACUCAAAAUGUGCAAUUGAUUACAUGCACAAGCAUAAUCAAUGAUCAGCAAACCUUCCCACAUGCACAACUCAAGUUAACAUGGAAUAAAAUAUAUAAGUGAUCCAUGUGUGUAAAGCGUCAUUAAUCCUUUGUAAACACGACUUCAUACCUUAAUUUUAUGAUAAAUGACAUAUUAAACAUCAUUGUCAAUAAGUUUUUUUUUUUUUUUUUUUUUUAUGAAAGUCAAACCAUUUAAAGCACACUAGGACCUUCAAAUAAAAGCUCAAUUUGUAUGGAUAUUUUCUUUUUCUCUCCUUGAUUUUGAGCAUACAUAAAUUUUUCAUAUCAUUCAAUAUUUUUUAAUCUUAUCAUAUUUUUACAUCUUAAGUACUGGUCCUUCUCCAUUAAAAGAAUAAGAUGAACCUGUAGCAAGUUUUAGUCCCGUUAACCCAAGUUAGUUGACCAUUGGCUCGCACCAAGUUAUGAAAAACCCCAAAGACUUAAUUGUUCGAGUCAAAUAUGCUCCAAAGAAUAACAUAAGAUAUUGAGCUUUUUAUUAUAGGGAUUAAAGUUGAGCUUAGGUCUAAUAAUAAUGUUAAUUCAUGUUCAAAAUCACCUUACUAACAUGUGACUGUCAUCUAAAAUCUCACAAAUGCAGUUGGGCCCCAUUAACAAUAUCAUAAUGUGUGCAGUGCAGAUUGUACAUGAAAACACAUAUACUAAGUAUUCUAUAAUAACCUAAGCAAGCAAUAUGCUACAACUCUUCCAUUCAACCAAUACUUGAUAACAACAAACAAAUUCAAGUAUAUUAUACAUCAUGUUGUAAAAACAAUUUUCUGUUCCCUUUUCCCAUUUUCUUUGUAUUUUUCAAUUUUCAAAAUUUUUUGUUGUUUUUAUUUUAAAAAUUUGAAUGCACCAAGAACACAAGAAAAUGUUAAACACACAAAAAAUGGACAUAAGACUUCUACUUAGAAAACAAAUAAAAAAUAUGAUGCAUACAUAAAUCAAUAACACAUAAUGAUAAAGUACUUGCAUUCACCAGAAAUACAUAAUUAGUUAGGUGUGAAACGUUCUUAUCUUUAAGAGUAUCAUGAUCUAUUUCAAGAUUUUUUAAAUCACUUCACCCAAAAGUACCUAGUGAUAGGAAUAUUUUUAGUCAUUUGUGUAAUCAUAUUGGUCACCAACUCACCUGAUUAGUAAGGAAGUAAAUCUUACAAACAAACUCUUGAUUCUUAUUUCUAUUGAAGUUUUGUUCUAUUUAAGUUCAGGAAUUUAUAACUCCUAGGUCUUAUGUGUCUUAACUCACCACAAUGAAAAUAUGUAGGGAUAAACCUAGGAACAUAGUUGAGAUCGUUGAUUUCUAUUCUUAGAUUGGCGGGUCCUUUGCUGUUUAGUAGGCCUCUAUCCUACAAAUUCCUUUUUCUUAGGAUCAGGGUUAGACACAUGUUUAUGCUGAUCAGUAGGAGGGACAAAUGUGGUCAUGAACGUACUAGCAAUAUUAUGAUAUUUCUUCUUAUAUCCUAGACUGCCCUUGUCACCAGUAGGCGACAACCAUUCAUAGAGGUUAGAAAAGACAAGAAGUUGGGACUUGGAAAACUCAAUUUUGCACAAAAGAUUCUUAACCUGAAUUUCUAAAGUUUCAUUUUCAAUUGUCAGCUCACUAGCUCUCCUAAAGAUCUUCUCAUGCUCACUUGUGAGAUCCUUAACCUGAGUAUCUCUAAAGAUUCGUUCAUGGAUUUCAACUCACUCGAGGUUGAGAUAGAUUCUUGAAGCCAAGCUAACAAUUUAUCUUUCUCCAACUCGAGUUCUUUAACCUUCGCACCUAAGGCUUUAUUUGUGGUGAGAAUCCUAAUGCCAUCCUCAUAGGUUCUAUCAUAAGAUUCAUGAAUAUCUCCCUCAGUAUCAGAAUCUUCCUCUGAUUCUUCAGCACUAUCUAUGUCCUUAGUCAUGUUGCUCCCCUUAUCAGAUCCACUUCUAAUCCUAACUCCUCUUCAUUAGUGGAAUCUGAAUUUGAUGACUCUCUACGACUACUCCUCAUAAUGCUUAAGGCCUAAGACUUAUCAUUUGUGGGUCUAGCUAAUGUCAGUUCAUAAGUUUGGUAAGAUCCAACGACCUUAAUAGAGUCCAUAUCCUUACUUUCUUCAAUAACCAUGAUUUUAGGCCUAAAUCAUUUAGAUAAGGAUCUAAUGAAUUUUCUGACUAUCAUAGGCUUCAAGAUUCUCGCACCUAGGUUGAAGCUAGAAUUAACUAUGUCAUUUCGGCUCACAUAGAAUUCAUCAAAGGUCUUGUCCCCUUCAAUCAAAAUCUCUUCAAACCUAAUGAUCAGUAUCUACAAUUUAAAGUUCUUAAUAGCCUGAGUUCUCUUAUAUGUGGCCUGUAAAAUAUUCCAAGCCUCUUUAGCUACCUCAUACAUGGACACUCGCCUAGACUCUUCAAGGGACAUGGCCAUAAACAAUGCAUGCAAAGCUUUGUUAUCCCAAUUACAUUUUCCUGGGUUUGUUUUGGUCCAAUUUGCAAUAAGAGGAGAGAUUACUACAUUAUUAAUCGUAGAACUAGGGGUAGCCCAACAAUUAACAACACUCAACCAGAUGCAUUCAUCCAUAAAUUUUAAAAAGGAUCUCUUUCUAACCUUCAAGUAUACAUAAUUACUAACAUCAAAAUAUGAUGGGAUAGAUAGUGAGGCCAAGAAUCGAAUUUAGGCUCUGAAACCAACUGAAAGUUCUAAUUAAUUGAUUUAGUUUGACCUUACAUGUAGAAUUAACAAAAUCAAAAGCAAUAAGUCACUUUUUAAUUGUUUAUGAAUGGUUAAUCAAACUGAUCAAUUAUUUUAAGUUGAAUUGCCACAGUUUAUAAUAUGAAAACAAUAAAUAACACACAUAUGUUGACUAAGAAACCCAAUUGGAUAAAAACUCAGGGACCAAGCCAGUUAUCUCCACUAUAGACAAUAUGAAUUUAUAGAUAGACGCUGCCUCCCGAACUCCAGUAGACAUCCCGAUCUACUUCUUGUAACGUCAAAGAUCCUGCUAAAAACCAACAACUUCCAAUCUCCAAUAAUUGUCUCGUCCAAGUGGAUCUCAAAAAUGAACAGUUCUCUACUAUUUCUGCUCUUGUAGUCUAACAUCUCUCAAUAUUUGUAGCUGUUAGGCAAUUUGUUGUCAAACGACCUCCCCGGGCUAUGAUGUAACCUCGGUUUUAUUAUUAAUCAGCCUUGGCCAUGUGAUUGACUAGUACAUCGACACAAUUAUUGAGACAACACAAUCCACAUUUUUAUGGACCGUUCGAAGCAACCUAUUUUAAAUGUGUUGCUCACGGUUCGCCCCAUUUCCUUGGAAGACUAUAUUAUUAAUUUGAAGCCCACUUUAAUUGAGUCGAGCCUUGUUUUGGUCCACAAUUUAAUCCUAACCUAACUUACCUAUUUUGGACAUUUACUUGGCAUAUAAUCCCGUCUUCCUCUCGGUCUCCAUGGUGUGUGCCUAUUUCCUUUCUCUUUGUGAGACUUUCUUCUCGGCUUGCUUUACUUCACUUCUUAGUGGGCACAUCAUUGGACUUCACCUUCCCCAACCUAUAGCAACUGGAGUGGGGCGGUGGUGGUGGUGGUUUUGGAGUUGUCUCAACCUUGGUGGUGUCGAUGAAUUGGUAAACUGAGCCCGAUUUUGUACUUGGAGUUCGGUGGAAAUCAUCCCUACAGUAGCCUCUGAAGUUUAAUUGAGAAAUUACUUUCCUAAGGUUGUUUAGGAAAUUGGAGUUUUG
Molecule: long non-coding RNA, 4859 nt
Filed under: Olea europaea subsp. europaea
Lineage: Eukaryota; Viridiplantae; Streptophyta; Magnoliopsida; Lamiales; Oleaceae
Source: RNAcentral